GAUGGACGCUGGCGGCGUGCCUAAUACAUGCAAGUCGAGCGAACGGACGAGAAGCUUGCUUUUCUGAUGUUAGCGGCGGACGGGUGAGUAACACGUGGAUAACCUACCUAUAAGACUGGGAUAACUUCGGGAAACCGGAGCUAAUACCGGAUAAUAUUUUGAACCGCACGGUUCAUAAGUGAAAGACGGUCUUGCUGUCACUUAUAGAUGGAUCCGCGCUGCAUUAGCUAGUUGGUAAGGUAACGGCUUACCAAGGCAACGAUGCAUAGCCGACCUGAGAGGGUGAUCGGCCACACUGGAACUGAGACACGGUCCAGACUCCUACGGGAGGCAGCAGUAGGGAAUCUUCCGCAAUGGGCGAAAGCCUGACGGAGCAACGCCGCGUGAGUGAUGAAGGUCUUCGGAUCGUAAAACUCUGUUAUUAGGGAAGAACAUAUGUGUAAGUAACUGUGCACAUCUUGACGGUACCUAAUCAGAAAGCCACGGCUAACUACGUG
RNAcentral lists this ribosomal RNA (497 nucleotides) under uncultured bacterium. RNAcentral describes it as "partial 16S ribosomal RNA". It matches the Rfam family "Bacterial small subunit ribosomal RNA", at positions 28 to 507 of the family's 1533-position model. The record is from RNAcentral.